UGCCCACAGUCCCCUGCCCGAGGACUGGGAGCGGGUAUCAGGCACCUCUUCCCUUGCCCAAGACGCCUCGCUCAGCCACACUCCCAAGGGACCACAGCAGUGAUAGACAUUAAGCCCUAAGUGAAAACUUGACUUAGUUAAAGCCAAAGAGGGCCGGUAAAACUCGUGCCAGCCACCGCGGUUAUACGAGGGGCCCAAGUUGACAGAUACCGGCGUAAAACGUGGCAAAAACGUACCCCCGACUAAAGCCAAACACCCCCAAAGCUGUAAUACGUAAAUGGGGGCAGGAAGCCCUACCACGAAGGUGGCUUUACUUAAUUUGAACCCACGAAAGCUAGGGGACAAACUGGGAUUAGACACCCCACUAUGCCUAGCCCUAAACAUUGAUAGCACCUUACAUUCGUUAUCCGCCCGGGAACUACGAGCAACAGCUUAAAACCCAAAGGACUUGGCGGUGCUUUAGACCCCCCUAGAGGAGCCUGUUCUAGAACCGAUGACCCCCGUUCAACCUCACCUCUCCUUGUCUAACCCGCCUAUAUACCGCCGUCGUCAGCUUACCCUGUGAAGGUCAAACAGUAAGCAAACUUGGUUCAACCUAAAACGCCAGGUCGAGGUGUAGCGUAUGAAGAGGGAAGCAAUGGGCUACACUCACUACAACAGUAAACACGAACGGCGUGCUGAAACGCACCCCUGAAGGAGGAUUUAGCAGUAAGCAG
Molecule: ribosomal RNA, 716 nt
Filed under: Orthonopias triacis
Lineage: Eukaryota; Metazoa; Chordata; Actinopteri; Perciformes; Cottidae
Description: partial 12S ribosomal RNA
Rfam family: Bacterial small subunit ribosomal RNA
Source: RNAcentral